UAGUAUAGUGGUGGUGCGUUCGCUUCGUAAGCAAAUGGUCGCGAGUUCGAUCCUCGC
RNAcentral lists this transfer RNA (57 nucleotides) under Nelumbo nucifera (sacred lotus). It matches the Rfam family "tRNA", at positions 8 to 63 of the family's 71-position model. Rfam says of the family: Transfer RNA (tRNA) molecules are approximately 80 nucleotides in length. Lineage: Eukaryota; Viridiplantae; Streptophyta; Magnoliopsida; Proteales; Nelumbonaceae. The record is from Rfam by way of RNAcentral.